RNAcentral lists this long non-coding RNA (2969 nucleotides) under Haliotis rubra (blacklip abalone). Its description in RNAcentral is "uncharacterized LOC124260751". The record is from RNAcentral. Lineage: Eukaryota; Metazoa; Mollusca; Gastropoda; Lepetellida; Haliotidae.
GAGAGGGUAAGGAUAUAAAGAAGUGGGAUAACAGUAAUAUGGAGAGGGUAAGGAUAUAAAGAAGUGGGAUAACAGUAAUAUGGAGAGGGUAAGGAUAUAAAGAAGUGGGAUAACAGUAAUAUGGAGAGGGUAAGGAUAUAAAGAAGUGGGAUAACAGUAAUAUGGAGAGGGUAAGGAUAUAAAGAAGUGGGAUAACAGUAAUAUGGAGAGGGUAAGGAUAUAAAGAAGAAAUGACAUAUCUAUUGGAAAUUCCUUCUGUUUCACACCAUGAUUUUAUCUUUGCAUUUAUUUAUACAUUUUGGUAGGAAUUCUUAGUGAAUGUUUCAGGAGAAUGUCAUUUUUGGAUCACGCAAAUAUAUGUACGGCUAAGGCUUGUUCUUCAGACCAAAAUACUUCUUAUCAACAAUGAUGUUACGAUUUUACAUUAUUCUUCUCCAGCAUUAUGAACUGUGCUUUACUAUGGCAACACAUACAGCUGCAGCGAACACUGGAUACUCACAGUAGGUAAACAGUUGUGAAGUGUCAUUUCAGGGUAUUGUUAAGCUACAUGAAAGCAACAGACUUUCUAAAGGGCUUACUCAUCUCUUCACAUAUUCAGCAAAUUGACUUAGUGUGGCUUUAGAAUGACGAGAAAACUUUCAUAGAUGGAAUUUUGUUUGCAUUUUACGCCUCAAUUGUACAUAUGUUACAUAGACCACCCAUAGUAAAUAUUUCUGUCUCAGAAAAGAUUGUUAUGAACACUUGUUAUGUAUUCAAAUGCAACAAUGUGAAUUUGUGCCCUUUAAGUCUUCUUCGUCUUCUUUGAGUCCUUUACAGUGAAAUUGUUUUUGUACAUAUGUAACAUAGUUUGUGAGUAUUGUCAUGGUGGAUUAUAUUGUAGGAAUCAUGGUUAUGCUCACAAAUUGCAACAUGAAUUGGGAUAUAAGAUACCAUAAGGAUAUUAUCAACCAUUCUUCAGGUGUUCAUUUGAUCAAUUAUUUUUUCAGGGUAAAGUUUGUUAAAAUACUUAUUCCAUUUAACAAAUGUUAGAGAAAACAUUUUCAAAAAGGGUUUUCAUCUUAACAGAGAUGCAAGUUGUUAUUUAGCUAUGUGAUUCAGCUUUAAAAAGACAUGGUAGAAAAGUAUCUUGUUGUGCCUCAGUAUUAACAGAAUCUUCGUAAGUACUUAAGUAAUUUAUACAUAAAACUAUGAUAUAGAAAUUACACUACUUUCACUGUCACCUACUUCUUGCACAAUACCAGUUGGGGUUCACACAAUUCACUUGUUUUGUUUAAUUAAAUUGUUGGACAAACUUUAGCUGUAUGGAUUAAAGUGAAAUACCUCACCUGUUUUCACUGAGCCAUCAUUCUGUUCACAAACUCAACUGGUGUGGCCACACAGCACUUUAAAUAUGUUCACAUAAAAUUGCUUAAAUCAAAAUUUAAUUUCUCACUUUUAACUUGAUAAAUUAUAUUGUAAAAAUUCAAUCUAUGCAAAUAUGCUAUAUACUUUGACAAAGAACCAUGAGUGAAUUGUUUACAUUCUGACAGAUACAAUAGGCCUAGAAAGGUUAGUGCACUGGUGGGUAUGUUUCACGUGUCUUUGUCUUAUGGGUCUGAAGCAAUAAGGCAAACCAGUAUUUCUUCUUGUUGUCAGCUGGUGUUAUUUACUUAAAGUGAAACUGCAUUACUGCAGAUUGCAUCUGAAAAACAUUUCUCAUGCAUUCUGUUAAAUGCCAUCAUGUACAGCAUUUCUUUCUGCUUACAUUGCUGAAAUUAGAUGUAGGCGGAUGAAAUCAAACUUGUUUUUCUUCUUAAGGCAGACAUGUAGAAAUAUGUGAUACUAUAGAGACCCACUGGGACCUUUGUUAUUGUUGCUCUUUAAUGUGAUAAUGUAAUGAUGGAUUGAUGACAAGCCAAUGAAAACUAUGUAUUGUUAUGAACAAAUAUGUAUGCUUAUCAACUGAGCACAAAUUUUAUAAACUGUUUUCUGCACAAGAAGAAAUAUAUUCUAGCUAUCGAGAAUACAUAGAUUGUUAGAAUUGAUUUUUUUCUGUAGAGUUUAUGUAUUGUCAGUUAUAGCAUUCAUAAUAUAAAUUGCAACCCAUCUCUCUCUUCGAGGUAUUUUGAUGGAUGUGGUAAUUAACUGUAAAUUACAAACAUUCUUUUAUUGAAAGCAAGGAAAGAUGAGAUUAUGGAGUAAUUUACUGACAACAUCAUCACCCCAGCAUCUCCUUUUCAGUAGUAGCAAACUUGACAUAAAAAUUAUUAUUAUAUUAUGGGUUUAUGUUAGGGUUAAACAUAUUCAUGAUAUAUCUCGUACUAUGUUUGUUAAGAUUAAUUUAACAAGUUUUUGAAUGUCACUGAAAGAGCCAUUUUCAGCUUUAACAAAAUUGAAUGCCGAGUAAAGGCAUUCUUAAGUGAACGCUAUCUGUCAUUGUUUUGGGGGUUGUAAGUCUGAAGACUCAAAUUGCAGUUGUCGGCACAGAAGAUUAUUUAAUCCAGGUUUCUUUAUAUAUUGCUUAUUUUUAAUGAAGUAGAAAAAUCUGAAAUUUCCACAAAUGUUGCAGUUUCUGAGAAAUGCAAUAUCUGUACAAUAGGAUAAUGCCAAAAGACAUAUUAAGGAAGGAAGCUGACUUAACCAUUACUCUUUUUGUGGACAAUGUCUCUGAAUGUAAAUCAUUUUCAACUGUAUCUUUUACGUAAGCAGCAAAUAAGUUAUCUUCUGUAAUUUAAACAUGAUAGAUGAUGUGUAAUUGCUGCAAGGUAAUUUUGUAGCUGUGUCGACAAUGAUGCUAGAAAUGCCAGCAAGCAUCAACCAUCCAUCCCAAGGACAGGUGCUUGAAUCUCUCCUUACCUCACAGUCGUUUUGUCUCUGCCUCCCAUUCCAUCAAUGUUUACCAUGGAUAGGUAUUGUGGUGUUUGGUACUCCAAAUUAUUAACAAGUCUGAUAUUGUUUUUAUUGUCUUUUGAAUAAAGGGUUGAAAGCUU